UACAAUUCUGUGAUUCUGUGAUUCUGUGAUUCUGAGAUCAGAACCUGCGUGAGGGCAGAGUGGCGCAGCUAAUGAGCUGCACUGAUGGCCUAUGGAGCAUCCGAGUGCCCCAGGCGUGGGCUGCUGCAAAUGGGGACGUGAAAAAGCAAUGAAGGUGGUACAGCAAAGCCUGGGGCUGGGGGAAAACAGCACCGAGACCAGGUCCUGUCCUCCCCAGCCCGCACUGUGCCUCUUGCAGCCGCUUGCUGUGCACCUGGCUCAUCCUGACUGCUGCAGGAGCGAGGAGGAAGGCUGCAGCCCAUCCUGUGCUGCUGCAGGGCUGCACCAGGCAGGUGUGCGGGGCUGUGCUGCGUUGUCUCUGGCUGCUGCAGGCUCUGAGCUGCAAGAAUAGUGCAGAGAACUCAGCGUGGCAGUGCCUCGUUUCUGCUGCAGAGCUGGAAAAAAGCCGUCACCUCACCACGAGAUCAGAGCGGGGUCAGUGGAAAAAGAUGUAUUCUUAGACUGGUACAGAAAGCUGAAAAAAAAAUGCAAAAAAGCAACGUUUGAACUCGGUGGGCCAAGGCUGUGAUGGCAGCAGCAAGGAUGGGUGGUGGCACAGCAGAGGGGUGUGAGCAUCCCAGGGCAGUGCUGGCACAUGGUGCGGAGGGAUCUCACAUCCGAAUGGCCGUACGAGGCUGUGCGAUGGACCUGCAGUGUGUGCUGUGCUAAAAGGAGCGACAUCUGGGUUUUCUCGGGCCUGCAGGGAGGAUGGAGCACCUGACAGUGGGGGUGGCAGUGAGUUCCCAUCCUGCAGGGCACGUUAUCCAUCGUCCGUUGCAGAGCGGCUGCCAAAUCAGCAGCUCCCAGCUGGCACUGCAGCACAGCGUGCACUGCAUCACCCAUUGCUUGCUGAGAACUUUCCCAGUGAGGCAGGGACGUGUGCCUGCUUUGGCAUCCUGGUGGGAGCACCAGCAGAGCUGAUGUCGCUCCCUCUGCUCUGCCCAGGUUAAUAACUGGGUGCUGGGGUUCAGCCUUGAGCUGGAAGGGUCCCUUCUGGUUGGGGUGGAGGUGCUUGCAGCCGUGCUGUCCCCUGGUGAUACGUCUUGGUGCACAAAGCUGCUGUCUGGCCCUGAGCGUGCUGCCUGCAUCAGUAUUCCAGGCACAGGCACAGCCCUGGUAACGUGCAGAGCUCGGCACUGUGCAGGAAUGCCCUUGAAAGGCAAAUUAAGCCAAACUCCCCGGUGGCUUUGAGGAGCAGCAGGGCUGCUGUCAUCUCUGCUAAGGAUGAAGUAGGUUUUGAGGUGUCUGAUUUUGCUUCUCUUCUGCUUCCCUUUCCCAAAAGAUGUGCAGACGUGCUGUGGGGCUGCUGCUAAGGGGGGUUUGUGUGCAGGUGCUGAGGUGAGAUAGGACCCCUCAGCAAGGAGCACUCGUGGCUCCUGCACGUGGUGUCCUUGCUCAUGGAAGCAUUUAGAGCGGGUUUUAUUGAAUGCAUGUGCUGAAAUCACAGCCCUGGAACACGUGUGUGUUUCAGCAGUGUCCAUGGAUUAAAGUGGGGGGGUUCUCGGGGUGUUUCUCAGGUGACUUCAGGAUAAGCUGCCUCUGAAAUGAGCUCCAGGGAUGCUCUGGGUGGUGAUUUGCUGUGCACAGUCCUCACAGAUCACGCUUCCCCUUGCUAAGCUGUUCACAAGCUGUGGUUCCCAGCCAUGCUGUGAGCACUGAUGUCUUCAUCUGGGAGUUCUCCCUAUCUGGGGGUCCUGCAGCAGUGUUCUGGCUGCAGCGGGAGCAGCCUGCAUUGUUCCUGGCUGAUCCAUGCAGAGCAUUUCCAAACAGCUGAGUGUGUUUCUGUUGGAAUCCAGGCCUGUCCCCAUUUCCCCAAACUCAGUUCCUCUCACACCUCAUUGCAGAACUCUCCCCAGACAGCAGCUGGGCUUCCUACUGAGAUCCCACUUCCUCCUUGUGGUCCUUUUUCCCCGGCACCUUCAGCUGCCGUGUGUGAGAGCUGUGCACGUGCUGCCCUCAUUGCUCCAUACACACGUGCUGUUCCAUUGCCAGCUGCUGUCCUGCUGGAGGUGCAGACGUGGAGGACCAAAGCUUUGUGAGUGCUGCACCUCUGCUUUGUCUCACUUUUCCUCCCCAAGCACCGCGUGCAUCUCUGCGGCAGGGGGACGGUGCCACUCUCUUGUCUGGGCGUUUUGGGGAGGAUUUGUGCUCUGUGUUCUCUGCACGACGGCUGUGCUGUGCUGUGAAGAAGUGAAAUUAAACGGUGGGCUUUGGUCACGCUUGGAAUUCUAAUCUGUGUGUCACUUUUGUUUCCUGUUUUCGUAGGAAUUGCUCAGAGCAUCGGUGGUCGGGAGGAAUGGAGGAGAGCACUGGGAGGAGGCCAGGCAUUGAGCUGGUGUGUGAUUGGAGCAAGGCAGUGAAAAGAAGGAGGAAUCAGCUCCCGGUAGCUCCUGAUUUUGCUGUAUUAAUUUCCCUGGGCUGCUCUGUCUUCCAGAAGAUGGGAAGUUUUAAAUUGAAAUUUGGCUUUAAAGCUCUUGCUUUAGGCACUGCCUACCACUUGCCUUGAGGACGCUCAUUCUGCAGGUGCUGCUAAGCUCAGGACUCCGGGGUUGCUCCGGGCACUGGGGCUGGAGAUGAGCUGAAGAGGUGGAUCACCCCCCGAGUGAUGCGGGUAUGGGGGUCGACGUGCUGGAAUCGGGUGACACCACACCUCCUACCAAGAGGAAAAGCAAGUUCUCGGGCUUCGGCAAGAUCUUCAAACCUUGGAAGUGGAGGAAAAAGAAAAGCAGUGAUAAAUUUAAAGAGACUUCAGAAGGUAAA
Non-coding RNA from Meleagris gallopavo (turkey), 2799 nucleotides. NCBI's taxonomy places the organism in Eukaryota, Metazoa, Chordata, Aves, Galliformes, Phasianidae. The record is from RefSeq and is a predicted model, not a curated record.